This is a long non-coding RNA of Haliotis rubra (blacklip abalone), 95 nucleotides long. RefSeq lists it as uncharacterized. The record is from RefSeq and is a predicted model, not a curated record. The transcript is spliced from 3 exons. NCBI's taxonomy places the organism in Eukaryota, Metazoa, Mollusca, Gastropoda, Lepetellida, Haliotidae.
CAUUUGAAACUCAAAAUACGUCACUCUACUUUUAUUUAUUCCCUGUUUAAAGAAAAUUUCAAGUGUGAACCAUAUAUACCCUAUAUCAAUAUUAA